GACGAACGCUGGCGGCGUGCUUAACACAUGCAAGUCGAACGGAAAGGCCCUGCUUUUGUGGGGUGCUCGAGUGGCGAACGGGUGAGUGACACGUGAGUAACCUGCCCUUGACUUUGGGAUAACUUCAGGAAACUGGGGCUAAUACCGGAUAGGAGCUCCUGCUGCAUGGUGGGGGUUGGAAAGUUUCGGCGGUUGGGGAUGGACUCGCGGCUUAUCAGCUUGUUGGUGGGGUAGUGGCUUACCAAGGCCUUGACGGGUAGCCGGCCUGAGAGGGUGACCGGCCACAUUGGGACUGAGAUACGGCCCAGACUCCUACGGGAGACAGCAGUGGGGAAUAUUGCACAAUGGGCGGAAGCCUGAUGCAGCAACGCCGCGUGCGGGAUGACGGCCUUCGGGUUGUAAACCGCUUUCGCCUGUGACGAAGCGUGAGUGACGGUAAUGGGUAAAGAAGCACCGGCUAACUACGUG
RNAcentral lists this ribosomal RNA (468 nucleotides) under uncultured bacterium. RNAcentral describes it as "partial 16S ribosomal RNA". It matches the Rfam family "Bacterial small subunit ribosomal RNA", at positions 28 to 507 of the family's 1533-position model. The record is from RNAcentral.